This is a long non-coding RNA of Capsicum annuum, 846 nucleotides long. RefSeq lists it as uncharacterized. NCBI's taxonomy places the organism in Eukaryota, Viridiplantae, Streptophyta, Magnoliopsida, Solanales, Solanaceae. The record is from RefSeq and is a predicted model, not a curated record. The transcript is spliced from 2 exons.
UUUUGUUGUUUGAAUCUACGUUAUGUGUUUGUGUCUAUAGUCUGUAUAGAACAUGGGAAGCAUCUACUCUUAAGGGGUUAUUUGGUUGAGAAUAACUAGAAUAAGUUAUUCUGGGAUAACUAAUCUAAUGAUUAGUUAUUCCACAUAGGUGAUAACUAAUUCCAUCACUUAAAUAAUUUCUGGACUAAGUAAUGCCUUCAUCCAAACGUAGGAUAAGUAAUCCUGCAUUUUAUUCCAAAACUAUUGCACCUUAUACCUCUAAUGUCUAUAAAUUUCUUGCAUCUCUAUGUGCUCAAAAAGGUUGUUGACGCUUCUUCAAAUCAAUCUCCAGAUCAGUCAAAGAACAAGCUGAAAAUAGUGAUUUAUGGGAUUAUUCUAAAUUUUAUCAUCCAGAAAUUUGGGUAGAUUCACAAAUGGAUUUGAACUUAACAAGGCAGUCAACUAGAACUCACGGAGGUGUACAUGUUGAAUCUGUUGAUUGACCUUCUUUUACAGCAAAGAAAGGAAUCCAUUUUGAAAGAGAAGUCAUGAAGAAUUAUGUAGUUUUGUUGAAGAAGAAGAAGAGAAACUUUAGUAAAAUAUAGGGAUUAUGCAUUCAUUUUUUUUGUUAGUUAUGUGAAACAAUUAUUUAGACACGUUAUGUGUUUUCUUUUGCUAAAAUCUCUGUGGUCAUAUUAUGGUGUGGUACAGUGUGAUGUUGCCACUUGCCUAUAAAAUAUUAUUUAGCUGUAAAUUAUAGCAAGUUAUGACACUUUUUUAAAGUAUUGAUGCUAAAAUUUGUUAUUUUGAAGGCCAAAUUUGUUUGUGCAUAUAGUUUGGUAAGGUAGUGAAGAAAAUUUGCUAUUA